Molecule: long non-coding RNA, 289 nt
Organism: Lagopus leucura (white-tailed ptarmigan)
Lineage: Eukaryota; Metazoa; Chordata; Aves; Galliformes; Phasianidae
Exons: 3
Source: RefSeq, a predicted model, not a curated record
UGUACACCUGAGGCCUUCUGAAGGUGGCAUUUGAGAGUAAGCAGACAAGAAGAUGCUUGGGGUAGACCAUCUAAAUUGCUUUGGGAGAGGGAAUGCUGUGCAGCCCAGGAAGAUUCAGCAGCUGUUCCCAAGGAGUUUCAACCUGAGGAGAACCUUGAUGAAUUAUAUGCUGAGAUCUACGAGAGGGUGGAUGCUCCUUUAGAAUAAUAUGGAAGAAAAUAAGAAAAUGGCUUCCAUGGAAAAACUAUCCAAGUAAGCUGUCAUCUGACCGUGAAGCAAGGAAAAGUGA